Molecule: ribosomal RNA, 404 nt
Filed under: uncultured bacterium
Lineage: Bacteria
Description: bacterial SSU rRNA
Rfam family: Bacterial small subunit ribosomal RNA
Source: RNAcentral
GACGAACGCUGGCGGCGUGCUUAACACAUGCAAGUCGAGCGGUAAGGCCCUUUCGGGGAUACACGAGCGGCGAACGGGUGAGUAACACGUGGGUGACCUGCCCUCAGCUCUGGGAUAAGCCUGGGAAACCGGGUCUAAUACUGGAUAUGACUCCAUGACGCAUGUUGUGGGGUGGAAAGCCUUGUGCGGCUGAGGAUGGGCCCGCGGCCUAUCAGCUUGUUGGUGGGGUGAUGGCCUACCAAGGCGACGACGGGUAGCCGGCCUGAGAGGGCGACCGGCCACACUGGGACUGAGACACGGCCCAGACUCCUACGGGAGGCAGCAGUGGGGAAUCUUGCGCAAUGGGCGAAAGCCUGACGCAGCGACGCCGCGUGAGGGAUGACGGCCUCGGUUGUAACGUACUU